CUCGGACACUUUCUAGCGGUUGGAGGAUUGAAUCACCUCGAGCUCAACAUUUAAAUGGACUGAAAAAUAACGAUAACAUCAAACAAAAAACCAUGGAGAAAGUCAAGAG
Molecule: long non-coding RNA, 109 nt
Organism: Coregonus clupeaformis (lake whitefish)
Lineage: Eukaryota; Metazoa; Chordata; Actinopteri; Salmoniformes; Salmonidae
Exons: 3
Source: RefSeq, a predicted model, not a curated record